UUAAGUUCAGCGGGUAGUCCUACCUGAUUUGAGGUCAAAUUGUCACGUAUUGUCCAAAUGAACAGACGGUUAGAAGCAGUACAAUCCCCAUAUAAUUGCAAACAUCCACGGCGUAGAUAAUUAUCACACCAAUAGACAGUCCACGCAGGGCGCACCAGCUAAUACAUUUAAGGGGAGCUGGCUAUCUACAAAGAAGCCAG
This 200-nucleotide unclassified non-coding RNA is filed under the name Wakefieldia sp. Its description in RNAcentral is "partial internal transcribed spacer 2". Lineage: Eukaryota; Fungi; Basidiomycota; Agaricomycetes; Agaricales; Hymenogastraceae. The record is from RNAcentral.